GUGCUUGCUUUGGCAGCACAUGUCCUAAAAUUGGAUACAGAGAAGAUUAGCAUGGCCCCUGUGCAAGUAUGGCACAAAUUCGAGAAGCAUUCCAUAAAAAA
Small nuclear RNA from Myotis lucifugus (little brown bat), 101 nucleotides. The record is from Ensembl. Lineage: Eukaryota; Metazoa; Chordata; Mammalia; Chiroptera; Vespertilionidae.